GACGAACGCUGGCGGCGUGCUUAACACAUGCAAGUCGAACGGUAAGGCCCUUCGGGGUACACGAGUGGCGAACGGGUGAGUAACACGUGGGUGAUCUGCCCUGCACUUCGGGAUAAGCCUGGGAAACUGGGUCUAAUACCGGAUAGGACUCCGGACUGCAUGGUCUGGGGUGGAAAGCUUUUGCGGUGUGGGAUGGGCCCGCGGCCUAUCAGCUUGUGGGUGGGGGGGUGGCCUACCAAGGAGCCGACGGGUCGCCGGCCGGAGAGGGGGACCGGCCACACUGGGAUGGAGCAACGCCCCAGACUCCUACGGGAGGCAGAGGGGGGAAAUAUUGCAAAAUGGGCGAAAGCCUGAUGCAGCGCCGCCGCGUGAGGGAUGACGGCCUUGGGUUUGUAAACCUCUUUCAGCAUCGACGAAGCGAAAGGGACGGUGGUGCAGAAGAAGGACCGGCCAACUACGUGCCAGCAGCCGCCGUAA
RNAcentral lists this ribosomal RNA (477 nucleotides) under uncultured bacterium. Its description in RNAcentral is "partial 16S ribosomal RNA". It matches the Rfam family "Bacterial small subunit ribosomal RNA", at positions 28 to 523 of the family's 1533-position model. The record is from RNAcentral.